GUACACGCUGUGACCAGCAUAUCAAUAAGCGGAGGAAAAGAAACUAACAAGGAUUCCCCUAGUAACGGCGAGUGAAGCGGGAAGAGCUCAAAUUUGAAAUCUUAAAGGGUUUCCCUUUACGAAUUGUAGUUUAAAGAAGUGUUUUCUGUUGAGGUUUUGGUAAAAGUUCUUUGGAAUAGGACAUCAUAGAGGGUGAGAAUCCCGUAUUUGACCUUUACUUUCAACUUUGUGAUACACUUUCAAAGAGUCGGAUUGUUUGGGAAUGCAGUCCAAAAUGGGUGGUAAAUUUCAUCUAAAGCUAAAUAUUGGCGAGAGACCGAUAGCGAACAAGUACCGUGAGGGAAAGAUGAAAAGAACUUUGAAAAGAGAGUUAAACAGUACGUGAAAUUGUCAAAAGGGAAGCGUUUGACACCAGUGUUGUUUUUCUGAAAAUCAAUUAAAGAACUGUUUAUGCUAAGCUGUUUAGACUUUAUCAGCUAUCUGUUUAGUUUUGAGCUUUUCUUUAAUGCACUUUUCAGUUAACAAGUCAACAUCAAUUUCUUUUGCUGUAAAAAAGCUUGAGGAAGGUGGCUUGAGAUUCGUCUUAAGUGUUUAUAGCCUCUUGCCUAUGCAGUCGGAGAGAUUGAGGUCUGCAGCGUAGAUCCUUCGGGGCUAAAUGCAUUUGUGCUAAGUUAUAGCAUUUUAUAGACAACUUGUUGACUAUGAUUUGUCUUGUAGCUUACUCGCUUAUGUUAUUUUACCUACGCUUAGGAUGUUGAAGAUGUAGCACAUCAU
This 774-nucleotide ribosomal RNA is filed under the name uncultured Neocallimastigales. Its description in RNAcentral is "partial large subunit ribosomal RNA". It matches the Rfam family "Eukaryotic large subunit ribosomal RNA", at positions 22 to 635 of the family's 3401-position model. Lineage: Eukaryota; Fungi; Neocallimastigomycota; Neocallimastigomycetes; Neocallimastigales. The record is from RNAcentral.